GACAGCACCAUCUUCUCCCUCUGUGACAUGGGCCCAGGUCUGUGAGGCACCAUGCAGGUGGCCUGCAGAGUCAGCUUGGGACUACAUGUUGGCUUGGGGGCAGUCACAUCCCUGUGGAGUGUGCUCUGGCCAGGGCAGACAGCUGAGGAGUGACUACUCAUCAGUGACCACACAGGUUCGGGCAGGGGCACUUGAACUGCCAUGAUUCUGAAAGAGGCACAAGGAUGCGAAGGACCUGGCAGCUCAGAGAUGAGCACUUAGAAGAAGUUCAUACUUCUCUUUCCACCAAGGAAGUUAACAGUGAGAAUGAAGACUGAUUCAAAGUCUGAGUCCCCUUGGCACCUGGCUCAGAAUAACAGGAAAAUAGCGUGAUUUAAAGACACAAAGAAAUCAAGUGUCAUUUCAUAAUCUUCUCUGCAUAUUUAUGAAGAGAGAACUGGAUUAAUCCUUAAUUUAAGCCAUUAAACAAAAUUAAUCAAAUC
RNAcentral lists this long non-coding RNA (482 nucleotides) under Chinchilla lanigera (long-tailed chinchilla). RNAcentral's name for it is "lncRNA (ENSCLAG00000022571.1)". The record is from RNAcentral. Lineage: Eukaryota; Metazoa; Chordata; Mammalia; Rodentia; Chinchillidae.